Molecule: ribosomal RNA, 492 nt
Filed under: uncultured bacterium
Lineage: Bacteria
Description: partial 16S ribosomal RNA
Rfam family: Bacterial small subunit ribosomal RNA
Source: RNAcentral
AGUGAACGCUGGCGGUAGGCCUAACACAUGCAAGUCGAACGGCAGCACAGUAAGAGCUUGCUCUUACGGGUGGCGAGUGGCGGACGGGUGAGGAAUACAUCGGACUCUACUUUUUCGUGGGGGAUAACGUAGGGAAACUUACGCUAAUACCGCAUACGACCUACGGGUGAAAGCAGGGGAUCUUCGGACCUUGCGCGAUUGCAUGAGCCGAUGUCGGAUUAGCUAGUUGGCGGGGUAAAGGCCCACCAAGGCGACGAUCCGUAGCUGGUCUGAGAGGAUGAUCAGCCACACUGGAACUGAGACACGGUCCAGACUCCUACGGGAGGCAGCAGUGGGGAAUAGUGGACAAUGGGCGCAAGCCUGAUCCAGCCAUACCGCGUGGGUGAAGAAGGCCUUCGGGUUGGAAAGCCCUUUUGUUGGGAAAGAAAAUCAGCAGGUUAAUACCCCGCUGUUCUGACGGUACCCAAAGAAUAAGCACCGGCUAACUUCGUG